Molecule: long non-coding RNA, 3502 nt
Organism: Chrysemys picta bellii (western painted turtle)
Lineage: Eukaryota; Metazoa; Chordata; Testudines; Emydidae
Source: RefSeq, a predicted model, not a curated record
AGGUGGAGCAGCUGUGGAUUGGGGUGGAGGAUGUGACCUGAAUCCUGUGAAAGGAAUCACGGAGUUGGAUGGAGAGAGAUCGGUCAGCAUGCCAUCAUGCAAACGAGGUACCUGGUCACAAUAGCAACAUUUAUCUAUUGUUUCUAUUUGAAAGCUGUUUUUGCUGUUGUACAUCUCAUUAUUCAAUGUCUUGGACAAAGAUGCAGAUUAAUCCACCAGUUCAGAAGUGAAGUGCUACUGUGAAAUGGCCCCAGUCCCUCAAUCACAUGGAGAUAGCGUUGAGAGAUUUUGGUAGCAAAUAUCCUUUUAUGAAAGGGCAUGAACUGCAUGUGUCCCCCUACUAGAAGGCAAGACGCUAUCAACACUAUCUCAUUCUUUCCUGAUUUUCUGGGCUACCCUGACUGAAAGGGAAUGGGAAGGGACAAUAUUGGUCUGCUGAAGAGAUUACAUCUGUUCUCCGCUCCUUUUUGUCCUAAUGCCUGGAAAUAGAGAUCUAGUUUCCCUACUCUCUGAAGAUCAUUUCUAGGAUGUUCUGGUUUAAACUCCCACUCUCCUAGAGAUUGUGUUUGCCUGUUCUUCCAGCCUCAUUUACAUAUUGAACUUCCUUUGGUUGUAUUUUGCAGAGAUCAUUACAAAUUCUAUUCUGGCCAGAGCAGAAUUCUGAGAUCUGCAGAAUGCAUGGAAGACUUUGGUCCCCUGGUCAGUUCACUUAGGCUACUGCUGUGCAGCUUUUGCUCUGCAAGAGAAUAAUAUUUGAGUUUAGAUGUCUUGUGACUCUUAAGUCAAUUGCUUUUAUCUUUGUCUGACUGUCACAGGGUAGACUCACCCACUGCAGGUGGCACCUCCUCCUAGCAGCUCUGAGGAAUUCGCUCUUUUCCAUGGCCGACCCCUCCCCUUAUGUUCUCUCUACCUGUUGUUCUCUCUCUUACUCUGUGGCUGCUUGCUCACUCCAGGAAUUGUAGCUUCCUCUUCGUGACUUGGCCUUCCGGGGUAUAGAGUCUCACUUCACCUGCUGUUCAGGCAAUGCCAUUCCAUCAGUGGCUGGUAGGGGAAUCCAGGGCCGCCCACCAUUUUGGAUUCCAUUCCAGGGACCCUACAACAUGCAGCCAAGUUCUGCUCCGUCCCCAGUCUUGCUGCUCUCUCUCUGGGCAGCUUCCUACUCUGCCUCCCACAGGCUUUCUUAUCCACGCUUCUCUUCUGGCUGCACCCUUCCCUCAGGGCCAGGCUCCCAGGGGUUCUACUCUUUCCCUGGCUUUCCUUCUGCCCUCUCUAAUGAGCAGAGGGUUGCUGUAAACUUCCUCACUGCAGCCAUUUCUGUUGCCAGCAUCCUGGCUUUAUACUAACCCAGCCCACACCUGCUCAGCUGAGCUUCAUUGUCCAAUCAGGGGUUGCUUCUCCAGCCUAAACCCCUCAUAUGUGGUCUAUCUCACUAAUUGGCCCUUUCUCAGCUUCAUUAACCCUUUCAGGGUUGGUGUGGGGUGAACACCCAAUAAAAGUGACCAUAAAAGCAUUCCAAUGCCAGAGGCAAGGGGCUCCACUGGUAUCAGGUAGUGAGUUUCAGCUGGCCUGAUCAGUUCAAUGUACCCCAAUUCACUCAUGUCAUAAUCUGUCAACUAUCUACUAGUUGUCAUGUAAGGUAUCGUUGGAAAACCCAUAACACACUGAUCAUUAAUAUUUGUGUGUGGUAUAUGUAUGGUGAAUGCUUAAAGGACUGUAUAAAUGUGAAAGAAAUAUAGGACUAAAAUGUGCUUGAACCAGAUAAGUCUGGGGAAUGGAUAAACAGGCCUUUUCCAGAUAAAGGAAAGAUCAAAACCUCCAUCCAGGUGUAAUCAUAGUCUGGUAGCCAUUCAUUGGCAAUUUGGAGGCUGCAGGGACAGAUAGUUUGCAUUACAGAAAGCACCAGCAGUGAAGAAACCAGCAUGGGACUUUCUCCAUUAGACUCCAUGGCACCUUUCCUCAAAGCAAGGACACUGAACUUUGAGAAGGAUACAUUCCGAAAGUUCACUGAAUUAUAAGAGAGGGGCAAGGAAUCCUAAGUUAUCUUUCACCUAAGAAGACAAAGGAACCGAGCACUUUGGACUUUCUGAGAGAUCCUGACCAAGGAAAUGGUCAGUCACUUGGCUGGAAAGAGAUGUGGUAAGACUCUGACCUAGAACCAAGACUGUAGUUUUGUUAAGUCUUAGACACUAGAAAGCACUUUUGUUUUAACCAUUUGUGACUUUGUCUUCUAUUUUAAAUCUCUUAAAAACUCUCUUUUUGAUUAAACUUGUUUUACUUUUAUUCUAAAUCAACCCAGUGCUGUGUUUGACUUGAAGUGAUUAUUAACUUGUUAAAGCAACAAGCUGCUGUGCUUUUGUCUCUUUAAAGGAGCAACGGACCUUAUUACUCCUCUGAAUGUUCCAGGAGAGGGCUGGAUGUUUCAGGGCAGAUGGUUUGGGGGAAAUUUGGGACUGGAGUUAUGUUGGAGUCACUUGGCUGGUGGUGACCAGAAUGUCAGAAUGACUGUGGUGCGACAAGCAGGCUGCUGGAGUCAGAGCUGCUUAACCCGGGCUACUCAAUACCCAGAUCCUUAGUACAUGCUUUUAUGCUGGCUGGGAGCAUCCAGAUAGGGAGCCACAGCAGCAGAGCAUUUUAAGGCACCCAGGGUUACGGGACAAGUGAUGAUGUGGUCUUGGUUGAACCCCAAAAUUUGACACUUGGGCUUUUAUAUUUCUCCUUUCUGCUUCAGACCACUUGCCUUUGGCAUGUGUGAGGGUCCAUCUGUGCUUCUUGGAGAGAACUCUUUUUAUAGUAAGGUCAGGGCUUUUUCAGUAGAGAUUCUUUUCCAUCUCUAGCUUCUAUGAUUUUGGAACAGGGAAAGGAAUCUCCUGUUCUAGCUGAUGAAUAUCAUGGUGUAGUAGUACCUCCAGGACUCUGCUGGUAUCCCUGGCUCCAUGGUAGAAAGAUGACUGCACAGGAAAUCCAAAUAGUGUAAAUUGGAUCUUCUCAUUAUAGAGGAGUGCUACUCAAGUUGUUGCUGUUUAUUAUUUGUAUUGCAAUAGCCCAUAGGAGCUCAAGUCAUGGACCAGGGACCAAUUGUGCCAGGCAUUGAACAAACACAGAACAAUAUGUGAGUCCUUGUCAUACACUGUACGCUCCUUGGGACAAGAGAUGGAUACAACAGACCGAUGGGAAGCACAAGAAAACACUGAGACAAUAUUGGUCAGCAUGAUAGGCAAUGGUCUCAGCAUGCUGGUUGCCUAAAUGUUAGUUUUGUUUGUUUUUGUAGGCCUCACUGCAAAUGAGAUUUUAAGGAGGGCUUUGAAAAACAACAAUGUGGCUUUGCAGAUGUUUACAGGAAUUAUUCUCAUGCAUGAAAAGAAAACACAAAGUUGCUUGUUUGAAAAUUUAAAAUGAAGGCUGGCAUGACUGGGAGAGUCACUCUUUCCUCAUAUGUCAUGUUUUCUAGACCUUUAAUCAUUUUUGUUGCUCUUCUCUGGACUUUCUCCAAUUUGUCCACAUC